CUGAAUAAACAAACAUUUGAAGGAAGUUUUCCAAUAAUUCUAACAAACUUUUCUGCUUUCUCUGUGUAGUGUUCACCAAUUGACAUGAUGGCCAUCUUCCAGGUGGCAAGAUCUUCAGUAUUUUGGGGGAUAUCUCUCAAUAUUGCUUCGUGCAACAGUUCAUCAAUCCCCAUACUACAGGUAGAGACAAAGGAAUCCCACAGAACUCAUCUAAGAAACUUCAAUGGCUGCAAAGCCUAAAAUAGUAUCACUGGAGGAUACUAUGGAUCACAGAAACCUCAUAGAAGGUGUGCAAAAUCAUUAGUUCAAAAUGGAACCUUACCUUGUAGCAACGAGGUCAGUGGACUGAGAACUGAGGCACUCCUGUCUGUUUGCCAUGGAGACAGCAUUGGACAGUUGUUGUUUUUUUUUCUUUUUUUUUCUCAGUUGUAAUUAUCUCUGAAAUAAUUAAACAAGAUCAAUAUCACAGAGAGGCAGUGAGAAUUACUGGGAUCUGUAGUGUGUUUUGAAACACUAAAAAAAAAAAGCACUUAUCUAGUCCUGACUACAAAUAUCCACCACGACAACAUCACCAUAUAUUACUAAUGCACAGAGGCAUAGAUUACUGAAGACAACAGGUAGUAUGAUAGAUGAGCAUGACAUAACUACUUGAGCUAGCAAGAGAAACACUUUUUCUCAUGGACAGAGCCCACAGCAUGUUUGCAUGGAGUAGUUUGUUUUCUCCAGAGCAACGAUGACAUUUAGAUCAUCUUCUGUGCUAUAAAUGGAAUACUGUGAUCUGCUGAACAUUUGCUACCUAGAAGACCAUUUCCUGGUGCCUGAGUCAUUAACUUUCUUGGAUGACAUUGCCACAUCUGUAAUGAAAAGAUGUAAUGCGCUGCUAAUUUAUGAGGCUACUCCAGUGCUGAUAUUUUAAACUACUCGGGUGUGAAUAGCAAAUGCUGGCUGGUAUUUGAAAUCUCUUUGGCAAUAUUAGCUCACUGUGGAUGGUAUUUGAAAUCAUUUUGGCAUUCUGGGGCAUCAGAAGCAGAUAGAACAGUAGUGGCCAAUGCAGGCACUGAAAUAUUUCCCAAGGAUAAGGCUUUAUUUCCGCUGAUAGGAGAGGAGUGCAUGUGAAGAAGAAUUUAACAGGGCUGCUGGUUCUUCGAUCAGUUCUUUGAAGAAAAUACAUUCAGCAGUGUUCCUGGAGAAAAUGAAACCACUGACUUUGGAUUCAUCCUCUAACAAAAGAUGGGGAGGAGGCAAAACUCACUUCUGUGAGAAAGGCAGAGCUGAAAGGUAAAAGGUGGUUCUCACUUUACAGAGUAGAAAAUGUACAGCCAUUUUCUGUAGGUCCUAUUGUAAGCCUUCAGGGGACAGUUAUUGCCAUCUAGUGCGAGCUUAAGUAUAAUAUAAACCAGAAAACUGUACCCAGUCAAUGUGCUUUGAGCCCAAUAACCUCCACUCAAUGUAGGUCAGCGCCUUUAAAACAUCUGCGGGCUUGGUUCUAGAAAUACCUAACAGGUACAGUUCCUCUGAUCACUAUGGCAUGUUACUAGAUCAUUUGAGCAUCCAAACAGUUGCCACAAUUCUAAUUUCACCACUUACCUUCUUGAUGCUCAUUGAUUGUCUUGUGGUGACAGAGAAAGGCUAAUAAACUAUUAACAUUUAAACA
Phasianus colchicus (ring-necked pheasant) is the source of this 1654-nucleotide long non-coding RNA. The record is from Ensembl. NCBI's taxonomy places the organism in Eukaryota, Metazoa, Chordata, Aves, Galliformes, Phasianidae.